AGCAGCCGCGGUAAUUCCAGCUCCAAUAGCGUAUAUUAAAGUUGUUGCAGUUAAAAAGCUCGUAGUUGAAUUUCGGGAUCAAUAUGUCGGUCGUGCCUUCGGUACGUACUGGCAUCAUUGGUUUCUCCCUUCUGGCAAACCAUGAUGUCAUUAAUUUGGUGUUAUGGGGAGUUAGGACUGUUACUUUGAAAAAAAUUAGAGUGUUUAAAGCAGGCUAACGCUUGAAUACAUUAGCAUGGAAUAAUGAAAUAGGACGUUUGAUCCUAUUUUGUUGGUUUCUAGGAUCCACGUAAUGAUUAAUAGGGAUAGUUGGGGGCAUUAGUAUUCAAUUGUCAGAGGUGAAAUUCUUGGAUUUAUUGAAGACUAACUACUGCGAAAGCAUUUGCCAAGGAUGUUUUCAUUAAUCAAGAACAAAAGUUAGGGAAUCGAAGACGAUCAGAUACCGUCGUAGUCUUAACCAUAAACUAUGCCGACUAGGGAUCGGAUGAUGUUAAUUUUUAAUGACUCAUUCGGCGCCUUA
This 520-nucleotide ribosomal RNA is filed under the name uncultured Glomus. Its description in RNAcentral is "SSU rRNA". It matches the Rfam family "Eukaryotic small subunit ribosomal RNA", at positions 569 to 1090 of the family's 1831-position model. Lineage: Eukaryota; Fungi; Glomeromycota; Glomeromycetes; Glomerales; Glomeraceae. The record is from RNAcentral.